This 245-nucleotide ribosomal RNA is filed under the name uncultured bacterium. RNAcentral describes it as "partial 16S ribosomal RNA". It matches the Rfam family "Bacterial small subunit ribosomal RNA", at positions 529 to 773 of the family's 1533-position model. The record is from RNAcentral.
AGGGUGCAAGCGUUAAUCGGAAUUACUGGGCGUAAAGCGUGCGCAGGCGGUUUUGUAAGACAGAUGUGAAAUCCCCGGGCUCAACCUGGGAAUUGCAUUUGUGACUGCAGGACUAGAGUUCAUCAGAGGGGGGUGGAAUUCCAAGUGUAGCAGUGAAAUGCGUAGAUAUUUGGAAGAACACCAAUGGCGAAGGCAGCCCCCUGGGAUGCGACUGACGCUCAUGCACGAAAGCGUGGGGAGCAAAC